GGCCGAGACGGUACAGGUAGGCGUCUGCCCGGUCUGCGCCGCGCGACGGUACAGGUACAGGUCUCGCUGACCGGCCGAGACGGUACAGGUACAGGUCUCGCUGACCGGCCGAGACGGUACAGGUAGGCGUCUGCCCGGUCUGCGCCGCGCGACGGUACAGGUACAGGUCUCGCUGACCGGCCGAGACAGUACAGGUACAGGUCUCGCUGACCGGCCGAGACGGUACAGGUAGGCGUCUGCCCGGUC
Amphibalanus amphitrite is the source of this 246-nucleotide long non-coding RNA. RefSeq lists it as uncharacterized. NCBI's taxonomy places the organism in Eukaryota, Metazoa, Arthropoda, Thecostraca, Balanomorpha, Balanidae. The record is from RefSeq and is a predicted model, not a curated record. The transcript is spliced from 3 exons.